This 82-nucleotide transfer RNA is filed under the name Candidatus Viadribacter manganicus. RNAcentral's name for it is "Caulobacteraceae bacterium OTSz_A_272 tRNA". It matches the Rfam family "tRNA". Rfam says of the family: Transfer RNA (tRNA) molecules are approximately 80 nucleotides in length. Their secondary structure includes four short double-helical elements and three loops (D, anti-codon, and T loops). The record is from Rfam by way of RNAcentral. Lineage: Bacteria; Pseudomonadati; Pseudomonadota; Alphaproteobacteria; Hyphomonadales; Hyphomonadaceae.
GCGGACGUGGCGGAACUGGUAGACGCACUGGAUUUAGGUUCCAGCGCCGAGAGGCGUGCGGGUUCGAGUCCCGCCGUCCGCA